GGGAUUAGAUACCCCACUAUGCUUAGUCGUAAACUUAAAUAAUCCUAAAACAAGAUUAUUCGCCAGAGUACUACCGGCAACAGCCCAAAACUCAAAGGACUUGGCGGUGCUUCAUAUCCCUCUAGAGGAGCCUGUUCUGUAAACGAUAAACCACGAUUAACCUCACCAAUCCUUGCUACUUCAGUCUAUAUACCGCCAUCUUCAGCAAACCCUAAAAAAGGAACGAAAGUAAGCACAACUACUGCACGUAAAAACGUUAGGUCAAGGUGUAACCUAUGGAUUGGGAAGAAAUGGGCUACAUUUUCUAUAAUAAGAACACCCCUUAAACUCACACGAAAGUUUUUAUGAAACCUAAAAACUAAAGGAGGAUUUAGCAGUAAAUUAAGAAUAGAAUGCUUAAUUGAAUAAGGCCAUGAAGCACGCACACACCGCCCGUCACCCUCA
This 444-nucleotide ribosomal RNA is filed under the name Sousa chinensis (Indo-pacific humpbacked dolphin). Its description in RNAcentral is "partial 12S ribosomal RNA". It matches the Rfam family "Bacterial small subunit ribosomal RNA", at positions 774 to 1405 of the family's 1533-position model. The record is from RNAcentral. Lineage: Eukaryota; Metazoa; Chordata; Mammalia; Artiodactyla; Delphinidae.